Molecule: ribosomal RNA, 253 nt
Filed under: uncultured bacterium
Lineage: Bacteria
Description: partial 16S ribosomal RNA
Rfam family: Bacterial small subunit ribosomal RNA
Source: RNAcentral
GACGAACCGUGCGAACGUUGUUCGGAAUCACUGGGCUUAAAGGGCGCGUAGGCGGGUUCUCAAGUCUGGUGUGAAAGCCCACGGCUCAACCGUGGAAGCGCUUCGGAUACUGGGGGCCUCGAGGGAGGUAGGGGCGUGCGGAACUUCCGGUGGAGCGGUGAAAUGCGUAGAUAUCGGAAGGAACACCGGUGGCGAAAGCGGCGCGCUGGACCUCUUCUGACGCUGAGGCGCGAAAGCCAGGGGAGCAAACGGG